RNAcentral lists this ribosomal RNA (170 nucleotides) under Bacillota bacterium. RNAcentral's name for it is "partial 23S ribosomal RNA". It matches the Rfam family "Bacterial large subunit ribosomal RNA", at positions 2763 to 2925 of the family's 2925-position model. The record is from RNAcentral. Lineage: Bacteria; Bacillati; Bacillota.
GUGAAGCGCUGACCGCAUCUAAGCGCGAACCCCGCCCCAAGAUGAGGCAUCCGAGCGACGCUGUGGCGUCGCUCCCGACCCCCGGCAGAUGACCGGGUGGAUAGGCGGGCCGUGGACAGCGGGUAACCGCGGCAGCGAGCUCGUCCUAAUCGGUCGGCGCUCUUUCUCCU